UAACUGUUCACCCCUUGACGGUAUCUAACCAGAAAGCCACGGCUAACUACGUGCCAGCAGCCGCGGUAAUACGUAGGUGGCAAGCGUUGUCCGGAUUUAUUGGGCGUAAAGCGAGCGCAGGCGGUUUCUUAAGUCUGAUGUGAAAGCCCCCGGCUCAACCGGGGAGGGUCAUUGGAAACUGGGAGACUUGAGUGCAGAAGAGGAGAGUGGAAUUCCAUGUGUAGCGGUGAAAUGCGUAGAUAUAUGGAGGAACACCAGUGGCGAAGGCGGCUCUUUGGUCUGUAACUGACGCUGAGGCUCGAAAGCGUGGGGAGCAAACAGGAUUAGAUACCCUGGUAGUCCACGCCGUAAACGAUGAGUGCUAAGUGUUGGAGGGUUUCCGCCCUUCAGUGCUGCAGCUAACGCAUUAAGCAUUUCCGUCCUUGUGUGAGAGGUUAUUCC
This 441-nucleotide ribosomal RNA is filed under the name Enterococcus sp. RNAcentral describes it as "bacterial SSU rRNA". It matches the Rfam family "Bacterial small subunit ribosomal RNA", at positions 456 to 873 of the family's 1533-position model. Lineage: Bacteria; Bacillati; Bacillota; Bacilli; Lactobacillales; Enterococcaceae. The record is from RNAcentral.